UAGUUAAGUCAGAUCCUUCAUUUUCAUACAACCAUAUUUGAAAAAUGCUGUCUUUAUAGAUAUCACAACAAAGCAACAUAUUCAAAUAUGCCAUAAAGUAUGCAGCAUGCACCAAGACAACUCCAUAUCAAUUUUCAUAGCAAGCCUUAUGGAUAUCACAACAAACCUACGAUGGUCUUUGACAGAGUAUUAACUAGGC
Molecule: long non-coding RNA, 199 nt
Filed under: Elaeis guineensis (African oil palm)
Lineage: Eukaryota; Viridiplantae; Streptophyta; Magnoliopsida; Arecales; Arecaceae
Description: long non-coding RNA (EGUI_LNC061150)
Source: RNAcentral